CCUACGGGAGGCAGCAGUGGGGAAUAUUGCGCAAUGGGCGAAAGCCUGACGCAGCGAAGCCGCGUGAAGGAUGAAGGUCUUCGGAUCGUAAACUUCCAUCUACAGGGAAGAAAAAGACGGUACCUGACUAAGAAGCCCCGUCUAACUACGUGCCAGCAGCCGCGGUAAUACGUAGGGGGCAAGCGUUAUCCGGAUUUACUGGGUGUAAAGGGAGCGUAGGCGGUUUAGCAAGUCAGAAGUGAAAGUCCGGGGCUCAACUCCAGAACUGCUUUUGAAACUGUUGAACUAGAGUGCAGGAGAGGUAAGUGGAAUUCCUAGUGUAGCGGUGAAAUGCGUAGAUAUUAGGAGGAACACCAGUGGCGAAGGCAGCUUACUGGACUGUAAAUGACACUGAGGCUCGAAAGCGUGGGGAGCAAACAGGAUUAGAUACCCUAGUAGUC
Molecule: ribosomal RNA, 440 nt
Filed under: uncultured bacterium
Lineage: Bacteria
Description: partial 16S ribosomal RNA
Rfam family: Bacterial small subunit ribosomal RNA
Source: RNAcentral